RNAcentral lists this ribosomal RNA (498 nucleotides) under uncultured bacterium. RNAcentral describes it as "partial 16S ribosomal RNA". It matches the Rfam family "Bacterial small subunit ribosomal RNA", at positions 30 to 523 of the family's 1533-position model. The record is from RNAcentral.
AUUGAACGCUGGCGGCAUGCUUUACACAUGCAAGUCGAACGGUAACAGGCCGCAAGGUGCUGACGAGUGGCGAACGGGUGAGUAAUUCACCGGAACGUGCCCAGUCGUGGGGGAAAACGCAGCGAAAGCUGUCCUAAUACCGCAUACGAUCUAUGGAUGAAAGCGGGGGACCGUAAGGCAUCGCGCGAUUGGAGCGGCCGAUGUCAGAUUAGCUAGUUGGGGGGGUAAAGGCCCACCAAGGCGACGAUCUGUAGCUGGUCUGAGAGGACGACCAGCCACACUGGGACUGAGACACGGCCCAGACUCCUACGGGAGGCAGCAGUGGGGAAUUUUGGACAAUGGGCGCAAGCCUGAUCCAGCAAUGCCGCGUGCAGGAAGAAGGCCUUCGGGUUGUAAACUGCUUUUGUACGGAACGAAACGGCCUGGGUUAAUACCCUGGGCUAAUGACGGUACCGUAAGAAUAAGCACCGGCUAACUACGUGCCAUCCGCCGCAGUAA